UACGAAGGGGGCUAGCGUUGUUCGGAUUUACUGGGCGUAAAGCGCGUGUAGGCGGGUCUGUAAGUUGGGGUGAAAUCCCGAGGCUCAACCUCGGAACUGCCUUCAAGACUGCAGGCCUGGACCCAAGGAGAGGCUAGGGGAAUUCCGAGUGUAGAGGUGAAAUUCGUAGAUAUUCGGAGGAACACCAGUGGCGAAGGCGACUAGCUGGACUUGUGGUGACGCUGGGACGCGAAAGCGUGGGGAGCAAACAGG
RNAcentral lists this ribosomal RNA (252 nucleotides) under uncultured bacterium. RNAcentral describes it as "partial 16S ribosomal RNA". It matches the Rfam family "Bacterial small subunit ribosomal RNA", at positions 524 to 776 of the family's 1533-position model. The record is from RNAcentral.